This 253-nucleotide ribosomal RNA is filed under the name uncultured bacterium. RNAcentral describes it as "partial 16S ribosomal RNA". It matches the Rfam family "Bacterial small subunit ribosomal RNA", at positions 524 to 776 of the family's 1533-position model. The record is from RNAcentral.
CACGUAGGGCGCAAGCGUUGUCCGGAAUUAUUGGGCGUAAAGAGCUCGUAGGUGGUUUGUUACGUCCGCUGUGAAAACCCGGGGCUUAACCCCGGGCCUGCAGUGGAUACGGGCAGGCUGGAGGCAGGCAGGGGAGAACGGAAUUCCCGGUGUAGCGGUGAAAUGCGCAGAUAUCGGGAGGAACACCGGUGGCGAAGGCGGUUCUCUGGGCCGAUACUGACGCUGAGGCACGAAAGCGUGGGGAGCGAACAGG